CAGCAGCCGCGGUAAUACGUAGGGUGCAAGCGUUAAUCGGAAUUACUGGGCGUAAAGCGUGCGCAGGCGGUUUUGUAAGACAGAGGUGAAAUCCCCGGGCUCAACCUGGGAACUGCCUUUGUGACUGCAAGGCUAGAGUACGGCAGAGGGGGAUGGAAUUCCGCGUGUAGCAGUGAAAUGCGUAGAUAUGCGGAGGAACACCGAUGGCGAAGGCAAUCCCCUGGGCCUGUACUGACGCUCAUGCACGAAAGCGUGGGGAGCAAACAGGAUUAGAUACCCCCGUAGUCCCUGUCUCUUAUAC
This 301-nucleotide ribosomal RNA is filed under the name uncultured bacterium. RNAcentral's name for it is "partial 16S ribosomal RNA". It matches the Rfam family "Bacterial small subunit ribosomal RNA", at positions 509 to 807 of the family's 1533-position model. The record is from RNAcentral.